AAUACAUGCAAGUCGAGGGGCAGCAGUACAAUACCUAGUAUUGUAGCUGGCGACCGGCGCACGGGUGAGUAACGCGUACGCAACUUACCUCCAAGAGGGGAAUAGCCCUGGGAAACUGGGAUUAAUGCCCCAUGGUUUAAUGACACUGCCUGGUGUUAUUAAUAAAGCUUUGGUGCUUGGAGAUAGGCGUGCGUCCUAUUAGCUAGUUGGUGAGGUAACGGCUCACCAAGGCGAUGAUAGGUAGGGGGCGUGAGAGCGUGACCCCCCACACGGGUACUGAGACACGGACCCGACUCCUACGGGAGGCAGCAGUAAGGAAUAUUGGACAAUGGAGGCAACUCUGAUCCAGCCAUCCCGCGUGCAGGAUGAAUGCCCUUUGGGUUGUAAACUGCUUUUACUAGGGAAGAAAGGCAGUCAUUUAUGAUUAUUUGACGGUACCUAAAGAAUAAGCACCGGCUAACUCCGUGCCAGCAGCCGCGGUAAUACGGAGGGUGCAAGCGUUAUCCGGAUUUACUGGGUUUAAAGGGUGCGUAGGCGGCUUAUUAAGUCAUAGGUGAAAGGCAUCGGCUUAACCGAUGGAUUGCCUGUGAUACUGGUGAGCUUGAAUUGGGUUGAGGUUGGCGGAAUGUGACAUGUAGCGGUGAAAUGCAUAGAUAUGUCAUAGAACAUCGAUUGCGAAGGCAGCUGACUGGACCUUGAUUGACGCUGAGGCACGAAAGCGUGGGUAGCGAACAGGAUUAGAUACCCUGGUAGUCCACGCCCUAAACGAUGCUCACUCGAUAUUUGCUUUACGGAGUAAGUGUCCAAGCGAAAGCGUUAAGUGAGCCACCUGCGAGUACGUUCGCAGAUGAACUCAAGGAUUGACGGGGUCCGCACAGCGUGAGCAUGUGUUUAUCGAUGAUACGCGAGACUACUGGCUCGAUGAUAUGCCUGAUAGCUGAAGCUGCU
This 948-nucleotide ribosomal RNA is filed under the name uncultured bacterium. Its description in RNAcentral is "bacterial SSU rRNA". It matches the Rfam family "Bacterial small subunit ribosomal RNA", at positions 50 to 1013 of the family's 1533-position model. The record is from RNAcentral.